GACGAACGCUGGCGGCGUGCUUAACACAUGCAAGUCGAACGGAAAGGCCCUGCUUUUGUGGGGUGCUCGAGUGGCGAACGGGUGAGUAACACGUGAGUAACCUGCCCUUGACUUUGGGAUAACUUCAGGAAACUGGGGCUAAUACCGGAUAGGAGCUCCUGCUGCAUGGUGGGGGUUGGAAAGUUUCGGCGGUUGGGGAUGGACUCGCGGCUUAUCAGCUUGUUGGUGGGGUAGUGGCUUACCAAGGCUUUGACGGGUAGCCGGCCUGAGAGGGUGACCGGCCACAUUGGGACUGAGAUACGGCCCAGACUCCUACGGGAGGCAGCAGUGGGGAAUAUUGCACAAUGGGCGGAAGCCUGAUGCAGAAACGCCGCGUGCGGGAUGACGGCCUUCGGGUUGUAAACCGCUUUCGCCUGUGACGAAGCGUGAGUGACGGUAAUGGGAAAAGAAGCACCGGCUAACUACGUG
RNAcentral lists this ribosomal RNA (468 nucleotides) under uncultured bacterium. RNAcentral describes it as "partial 16S ribosomal RNA". It matches the Rfam family "Bacterial small subunit ribosomal RNA", at positions 28 to 507 of the family's 1533-position model. The record is from RNAcentral.